RNAcentral lists this ribosomal RNA (642 nucleotides) under uncultured bacterium. RNAcentral's name for it is "bacterial SSU rRNA". It matches the Rfam family "Bacterial small subunit ribosomal RNA", at positions 232 to 885 of the family's 1533-position model. The record is from RNAcentral.
CGCGGCCUAUCAGCUUGUUGGUGGGGUAAUGGCCUACCAAGGCGACGACGGGUAGCCGACCUGAGAGGGCGACCGGCCACACUGGGACUGAGACACGGCCCAGACUCCUACGGGAGGCAGCAGUGGGGAAUAUUGCACAAUGGGCGAAAGCCUGAUGCAGCGACGCCGCGUGAGGGAUGACGGCCUUCGGGUUGUAAACCUCUUUCAGCAGGGACGAAGCGCAAGUGACGGUACCUGCAGAAGAAGCACCGGCUAACUACAUGCCAGCAGCCGCGGUAAUACGUAGGGUGCAAGCGUUGUCCGGAAUUACUGGGCGUAAAGAGUUCGUAGGCGGUUUGUCGCGUCGUUUGUGAAAACCAGCAGCUCAACUGCUGGCUUGCAGGCGAUACGGGCAGACUUGAGUACUGCAGGGGAGACUGGAAUUCCUGGUGUAGCGGUGAAAUGCGCAGAUAUCAGGAGGAACACCGGUGGCGAAGGCGGGUCUCUGGGCAGUAACUGACGCUGAGGAACGAAAGCGUGGGUAGCGAACAGGAUUAGAUACCCUGGUAGUCCACGCCGUAAACGGUGGGCGCUAGGUGUGGGUUCCUUCCACGGAAUCCGUGCCGUAGCUAACGCAUUAAGCGCCCCGCCUGGGGAGUACGG